CCUACGGGAGGCAGCAGUGGGGAAUAUUGGUCAAUGGACGAAACUCUGAACCAGCCACGCCGCGUGCAUGAUGAAGGUCUUCGGAUUGUAAAGUUCUUUUUUUAGGGAAGAAGAAAGUGACGGUUCCUUAGGAAUAAGCAUCUGCUAACUACGUACCAGCAGCCGCGGUACUACGUAGGAGGCGAGCGUUAUCCGGAAUGAAUGGGCGUAAAGGGUGCGUAGGUGGUUGGGCAAGUUAGUAGCGUAACUCCAAGGCUCAACCGUGGAACUGCUACUGAAACUGUUGGACUUGAGUGCAGGAAGGGCAGCCGGAAUUCCUGGUGUAGCGGUGGAAUGCGUAGAUAGCAGGAGGAACACCAGUGGCGAAGGCGGGUUGCUAGAGUGUAACUGACGCUGAGGCACGAAAGCGUGGGGAGCAAACAGGAUUAGAUACCCGUGUAGUC
RNAcentral lists this ribosomal RNA (443 nucleotides) under uncultured bacterium. Its description in RNAcentral is "partial 16S ribosomal RNA". It matches the Rfam family "Bacterial small subunit ribosomal RNA", at positions 338 to 795 of the family's 1533-position model. The record is from RNAcentral.